UAUACAACUUUCAGCAACGGAUCUCUUGGCUCUCGCAUCGAUGAAGAACGCAGCGAAAUGCGAUAAGUAAUGUGAAUUGCAGAAUUCAGUGAAUCAUCGAAUCUUUGAACGCACCUUGCGCYCCUUGGUAUUCCGAGGAGCAUGCCUGUUUGAGUGUCAUUAAAUUCUCAAC
Molecule: ribosomal RNA, 172 nt
Filed under: Laccaria trichodermophora
Lineage: Eukaryota; Fungi; Basidiomycota; Agaricomycetes; Agaricales; Hydnangiaceae
Description: 5.8S ribosomal RNA
Rfam family: 5.8S ribosomal RNA (bases 6-159)
About the family: 5.8S ribosomal RNA (5.8S rRNA) is a component of the large subunit of the eukaryotic ribosome. It is transcribed by RNA polymerase I as part of the 45S precursor that also contains 18S and 28S rRNA. Functionally, it is thought that 5.8S rRNA may be involved in ribosome translocation.
Source: RNAcentral